Molecule: ribosomal RNA, 914 nt
Filed under: uncultured marine archaeon
Lineage: Archaea
Description: bacterial SSU rRNA
Rfam family: Archaeal small subunit ribosomal RNA
Source: RNAcentral
UUCCGGUUGAUCCUGCCGGACCUGACUGCUAUCGGAUUGAUACUAAGCCAUGCGAGUCUUUGCAGUAAUGCAAGGCAUACGGCUCAGUAACACGUAGUCAACUUACCCUAUGGACGAGGAUAAUCUCGGGAAACUGAGCAUAAUACUCGAUAGAUCAUAAUGCCUGGAACGGUUUAUGGUUGAAAUGAUUCGUCGCCAUAGGAUAGGACCGCGGCCUAUCAGCUUGUUGGUGAGGUAAUGGCCCACCAAGGCGAUUACAGGUACGGGCUCUGAGAGGAGAAGCCCGGAGAUGGGUACUGAGACAAGGACCCAGGCCCUAUGGGGCGCAGCAGGCGAGAAAACUUUGCAAUGUGCGAAAGCACGACAAGGUUAAUCCGAGUGAUUUCUGCUAAAGAAAUCUUUUGCAAGUCAUAAAACCACUAGUGAAUAAGGGGUGGGCAAGUUCUGGUGUCAGCCGCCGCGGUAAAACCAGCACCUCAAGUGGUCAGGAGGAUUAUUGGGCCUAAAGCAUCCGUAGCCGGCUCUGUAAGUUUUCGGUUAAAUCCAUGUGCUCAACGCAUGGGCUGUCGAAAAUACUGCAUAGCUAGGGAGUGGGAGAGGUAGACGGUACUCGGUAGGAAGGGGUAAAAUCCUUUGAUCUAUCGAUGACCACCUGUGGCGAAGGCGGUCUACCAGAACACGUUCGACGGUGAGGGAUGAAAGCUGGGGGAGCAAACCGGAUUAGAUACCCGGGUAGUCCCAGCUGUAAACGAUGCAGACUCGAUGAUGCAUUGGCAUAUAGCCAGUGCAGUGUCGCAGGGAAGCCGUUAAGUCUGCCGCCUGGGAAGUACGUACGCAAGUAUGAAACUUAAAGGAAUUGGCGGGGGAGCACCACAAGGGGUGAAGCCUGCGGUUCAAUUGGAUUCAACGCCGGG